GCUUGCUCCCGGAUGUUAGCGGCGGACGGGUGAGUAACACGUGGGUAACCUGCCUGUAAGACUGGGAUAACUCCGGGAAACCGGAGCUAAUACCGGAUAGUUCCUUGAACCGCAUGGUUCAAGGAUGAAAGACGGUUUCGGCUGUCACUUACAGAUGGACCCGCGGCGCAUUAGCUAGUUGGUGGGGUAAUGGCUCACCAAGGCGACGAUGCGUAGCCGACCUGAGAGGGUGAUCGGCCACACUGGGACUGAGACACGGCCCAGACUCCUACGGGAGGCAGCAGUAGGGAAUCUUCCGCAAUGGACGAAAGUCUGACGGAGCAACGCCGCGUGAGUGAUGAAGGUUUUCGGAUCGUAAAGCUCUGUUGUUAGGGAAGAACAAGUGCGAGAGUAACUGCUCGCACCUUGACGGUACCUAACCAGAAAGCCACGGCUAACUACGUGCCAGCAGCCGCGGUAAUACGUAGGUGGCAAGCGUUGUCCGGAAUUAUUGGGCGUAAAGGGCUCGCAGGCGGUUUCUUAAGUCUGAUGUGAAAGCCCCCGGCUCAACCGGGGAGGGUCAUUGGAAACUGGGAAACUUGAGUGCAGAAGAGGAGAGUGGAAUUCCACGUGUAGCGGUGAAAUGCGUAGAGAUGUGGAGGAACACCAGUGGCGAAGGCGACUCUCUGGUCUG
Molecule: ribosomal RNA, 673 nt
Filed under: uncultured Bacillus sp.
Lineage: Bacteria; Bacillati; Bacillota; Bacilli; Caryophanales; Bacillaceae
Description: bacterial SSU rRNA
Rfam family: Bacterial small subunit ribosomal RNA
Source: RNAcentral